UGGGGGGGCGGGGUUUCCGGCCCGCAUGUAUUUGCAUAUAUUAUAGAGGCCACUAGUGCUGACCAAGCUGCCAUCUUUCUCUCUUCCCGUCUUUCAAUGGCUGCUUCAAUUUCAGCUCGAACCUCCAAACCGCAAGUUAGCACCUCAUACCACAGUGCAUCAAAGCAGUCUCAUGAGCGCUGGGAAGGAGGAGCCCAGAGCCCAAAACAGACAGUGCAGGAGAUGACAAGCUGUCCUGUGCCAGAAGUUCUGUUGACCCACAGUGAGAGGCAUCAUUUCAGAAACACCAGGAAGACU
Molecule: non-coding RNA, 297 nt
Organism: Maylandia zebra (zebra mbuna)
Lineage: Eukaryota; Metazoa; Chordata; Actinopteri; Cichliformes; Cichlidae
Source: RefSeq, a predicted model, not a curated record